This 1824-nucleotide ribosomal RNA is filed under the name Triticum aestivum (bread wheat). RNAcentral describes it as "partial small subunit ribosomal RNA". Lineage: Eukaryota; Viridiplantae; Streptophyta; Magnoliopsida; Poales; Poaceae. The record is from RNAcentral.
AUGGCACAGAUCCCAAACCUCGAUAACGCGCCGCUCAAUCUCACUGCCUUCAGGGAGCAGUCACAGAAGGAACUCGUCAGCAUAAUCAAGAGCAUCAGGGGGAACAAGUGUCUGGUCAUCGAUCCGAAGCUCGCGGGCACCCUCUCGCUGAUCCUGCACACCUCGGCGCUAAAGGAACAUGUCACGGAGCUGCGGGUCCUCUCCGCCGAGCCUCUGCAGACGGAGUGCCCCAAGGUGGUGUACCUUGUUCGGUCGCAGCUCAGCUUGAUGAAAUUCGUGGCAAAUCAAAUCAAGAACGACGAAUCCAAGGGGCUCCAGAGGGAAUACCACCUCUAUUUCGUGCCACGUCGUCUAGUUGCCUGUGAGAUGAUUCUGGAGGAAGAGAAAGUUCAUCAAAAGUUGGCAAUAAUCGGAGAAUACCCCUUGUAUCUGGUUCCUUUGGAUGAGGAUGUCAUUUCUUUUGAGCUUGGUGAUGAUGACUAUUCCUCACAGGAAUGUCACCUUAUGGAAGGGGAUACGGCGACUUCUGCCUGGCACGUUGCAGAAGCUAUUCAUAGGCUAGAGCUUGCCUUUGGAGUCAUCCCCAAUGUUAGAGCCAAGGGUGUGGCAUCAACCAAAGCUGCCCAGCUGCUCAACCAUAUGCACCUCCAAGACCCUGUCGACAUGGAUGACAUGGGGAUUCCAGAGAUAGAGACCGUUAUCUUGCUAGAUCGAGAGGUGGACAUGGUGACACCAAUGUGCUCUCAGCUAACGUAUGAAGGCCUCUUAGACGAGAUGUUGGAAAUUCAUAACGGAUCUGUGCAAGUUGAUGCCGGCAUCAUGCGCGCCCAACAAGAUGGGAAAAAGAUCAAGGUUCCGCUCAAUUCGAGCGAUAAGUUGUACAGGGAGAUUCGAGACCUCAGCUUCCAUGUUGUGCUUCGGGUCGUCCACCAAAAGGCAACGUCUAUUCAGCAAAAUUACGCGCAGGUAAAAUCAAUGAACACACAGUCGGUUUCCGAGCUCAAGGAUUUUGUGAAGAGGUUACACUCACUACCGGAGAUAACCAGGCAUGUUAAUUUGGCGCACCAUCUGCAGUCGUUUGCUGGAAAACCCUUGUUUCAUGCCCGAGUAGAGAUUGAGCAAAAGAUGCUGGAGGCGAAGGACUAUGAAACGUGUUACAAGUACAUUGAGGAGAUCAUACAGAAGCAAGGGCCUAUUGAGACUGUGCUUCGCCUUCUGGUGUUAUUUUCCCUUACAAAUGCUGGGUUGCCGAGGAAGAGUUUUGACUACCUGAGGCGGGAGAUACUGCACAGCUAUGGCUUUGAGCACAUGCCCUUGUUAUACAAUCUGGAGAAGGCUGGCCUUGUUAAAGGGCGGGAAUCGAGGAGUAAUUGGGCUAUUAUCAGGAGAGGUCUCCAGCUUAUAGUUGAUAUAAAGGAUCCUGAUUCCCCUGAUGAUGUAUCAUACGUCUUUGCUGGAUACGCGCCUCUUAGCAUUCGCCUUGUUCAGCAUGCAGUGAAGUCUGGAUGGCGAUCUAUCGAAGAAGUGUUGAAAUUGUUGCCGGGCCCUCAUCUGGAUUUGAAAAGAGGUGUCUCGACCAUUAGUGGUUCAUCAGAAUUACUAUCAGCCGAGGACGCAAGACAGAAUACCGACAGGGUUGGUCGUCGCUCCGUUGUUCUGGUUGUGUUUGUUGGUGGCGUAACAUUUGCUGAGAUUGCCUCGCUUCGAUUUCUUGGUGCACAGGAAGGAAUGGGCUGUGACUUCGUGGUUGCAACAACAAAGGUCAUCACCGGCAACACAUUACUUAGACCAAUUAUAGCCAGCAGCAAAGAGGGAAUGAUUUAG